RNAcentral lists this ribosomal RNA (253 nucleotides) under uncultured bacterium. RNAcentral's name for it is "partial 16S ribosomal RNA". It matches the Rfam family "Bacterial small subunit ribosomal RNA", at positions 524 to 776 of the family's 1533-position model. The record is from RNAcentral.
UACGUAGGGUGCGAGCGUUGUCCGGAUUUAUUGGGCGUAAAGGGCUCGUAGGCGGCGUGUCGCGUCGGGAGUGAAAGCCCGUUGCUUAACGGCGGGUUGGCUUUCGGUACGGGCAUGCUGGAGUGCGGCAGGGGAGACUGGAAUUCCCGGUGUAGUGGUGAAAUGCGUAGAGAUCGGGAGGAACACCUGUGGCGAAGGCGGCCGACUGGGCCGACCCUGACGCUGAGGCGCUAAGGCGUGGGGAGCGAACGGG